CCUGCGCACCGCUCCAUCGCUCACUCUUUGCAGAAGGGUGGGAGGAAAGUCCGGGCAGCAAAGGGCACCGUGCUUCCUAACGGGAAGGGGUGUGGCCGGCGACGGCCGCAUCACGGAAAGUGCAACAGAGAGCAUACCGCCGAUGGCCGCAAGGCACAGGCAAGGGUGAAAGGGUGGUGUAAGAGACCACCGCGCGGGCAGUGAUGUCCGCGGCACGGCAAACCCCACGGGCUGAAAGACCAAAUAGGCCGGCCCACGUGUCCCGAAAGGGGCAGCGUGGAAGGGUGGCCCGCUCCAAGCCGGCGGGUAGGUCGAUAGAGGUGCUCCGCGAGGGGCAUCCCAGAUAAAUGAUGGGGACUCCGCCCCGGAUGCGAGUCCGGGGAGGGGAACAGAACCCGGCUUACAGGUGCGCAGGUACU
This 419-nucleotide RNase P RNA is filed under the name Flavobacteriales bacterium. RNAcentral describes it as "RNase P RNA component class A". It matches the Rfam family "Bacterial RNase P class A". Rfam says of the family: Ribonuclease P (RNase P) is a ubiquitous endoribonuclease, found in archaea, bacteria and eukarya as well as chloroplasts and mitochondria. Its best characterised activity is the generation of mature 5'-ends of tRNAs by cleaving the 5'-leader elements of precursor-tRNAs. The record is from RNAcentral. Lineage: Bacteria; Pseudomonadati; Bacteroidota; Flavobacteriia; Flavobacteriales.